AUUCUGCCCAAGCGGGGAAGGAUGAGAAGCUUCGACCAAGGUUCGACUUGAGCGCCAGCGAGAGAGCGUUGCCGCAGGCAACGACCCGAAGGGCGAAGCGCG
Molecule: small RNA, 102 nt
Filed under: Escherichia coli
Lineage: Bacteria; Pseudomonadati; Pseudomonadota; Gammaproteobacteria; Enterobacterales; Enterobacteriaceae
Also listed under: 1 other name
Description: partial RtT sRNA
Rfam family: RtT RNA
About the family: This family represents a bacterial cis-regulatory element known as RtT RNA. The exact function of RtT is unknown although it is thought that it may be involved in changing the cellular response in relation to amino acid starvation.
Source: RNAcentral